GUCGAACGAACCCCCGACUUCGGUUGGACGGUUAGUGGCGCACGGGUGCGUAACGCGUGGGAAUCUGCCCUUAGGUACGGAAUAACUCAGGGAAACUUGUGCUAAUACCGUAUGAUGUCGAGAGACCAAAGAUUUAUCGCCUAGGGAUGAGCCCGCGUUGGAUUAGCUUGUUGGUGAGGUAAAAGCUCACCAAGGCUACGAUCCAUAGCUGGUCUGAGAGGAUGAUCAGCCACACUGGGACUGAGACACGGCCCAGACUCCUACGGGAGGCAGCAGUGGGGAAUAUUGGACAAUGGACGAAAGUCUGAUCCAGCAAUGCCGCGUGAGUGAAGAAGGCCUUCGGGUUGUAAAGCUCUUUUACCCGGGAUGAUAAUGACAGUACCGGGAGAAUAAGCUCCGGCUAACUCCGUGCCAGCAGCCGCGGUAAUACGGANGGAGCUAGCGUUGUUCGGAAUUACUGGGCGUAAAGCGUACGUAGGCGGCCAAUCAAGUCAGAGGUGAAAGCCCACGGCUCACCGGUGGAACUGCCUUGAAACUAUUGGCUUGAAAAUGGAAAGUGAGUGAAUUCCAGUGUAAGGUGAAUCCGUAAAUUCCGAAGACCC
This 602-nucleotide ribosomal RNA is filed under the name uncultured bacterium. RNAcentral describes it as "bacterial SSU rRNA". It matches the Rfam family "Bacterial small subunit ribosomal RNA", at positions 61 to 708 of the family's 1533-position model. The record is from RNAcentral.